RNAcentral lists this ribosomal RNA (465 nucleotides) under uncultured bacterium. RNAcentral's name for it is "partial 16S ribosomal RNA". It matches the Rfam family "Bacterial small subunit ribosomal RNA", at positions 338 to 795 of the family's 1533-position model. The record is from RNAcentral.
CCUACGGGAGGCAGCAGUGGGGAAUAUUGCGCAAUGGGCGAAAGCCUGACGCAGCGACGCCGCGUGAGGGAUGAAGGUCUUCGGAUCGUAAACCUCUGUCAGCAGGGAAGAACGGUCACUGUGCUAAUCAGCAGUGAAUUGACGGUACCUGCAAAGGAAGCACCGGCUAACUCCGUGCCAGCAGCCGCGGUAAUACGGAGGGUGCGAGCGUUAAUCGGAAUUACUGGGCGUAAAGCGCUCGUAGGCGGUAUGUCAAGUCAAGGGUGAAAUCCCCGCGCUCAACGUGGGAACUGCCUUUGAAACUGGCAAACUGGAGUGUGGGAGAGGAUAGUAGAAUUCCAGGUGUAGGAGUGAAAUGCGUAGAGAUCUGGAGGAACAUCAGUGGCGAAGGCGACUAUCUGGCACAUAACUGACGCUGAGGAGCGAAAGCGUGGGUAGCAAACAGGAUUAGAUACCCUUGUAGUC